AAACUGAGGUCUCUUACUUACUUGGGCCCACCUUGGGCUGAAAUGCCCUUCCUGCUAACUUUCUCUGGCUCAUCUCCAUCAUUCUGAAGAUCCAGUGAAGCCUCCAGAAGUUUUUGUCCUUGAUCUUUUUGUUAAAGUAUAAAACAAGAAGAUGCUAGGAAAUUGAAGAAAAAAAUUUAAAAACCCUUAACGUUUCAUUCUGGGUAAAGAGACUACUAAUUAUCCUCCAGUUCCUUUCUCUUCUUCUUUGCUAAUAGACCUGAAUCUGGACCAUUAACUCUCAGAAUAGACUGUGGUGCUGGGGAUUAAACCCAGGAUCUCACAAAUGGUGGGCAAACACUGUACCAUUGAGCUGUAUCCCCAGCCCCCUCUAACUGGUGAUAUUCUUACAUUGCUUUUAAAAAUUAGAAUUAUAGAACAUUGGUGUUAAAAGAAUCCUCAAUUCGAGCAGCCAUCGCUCAAGCGCCAGGAGGUAGGCCGGGCCCAGAUCCACCGCUGGAAGGAGAACCACGCCUGCUCCCGACCCAGCAGUCAUCGCUCAAGCACCGGGAAGGCUGUUGGGAGGAGCCAACGCCACAGUCUGCAAAUGCUUCUCUGCAUGUGAAAAAGAACAGCUCUUGGUAAAUCCAGGGGUCAUCCUGGAUUCCAGCAGAGCCUCCCAAGACUGAGUCUGUGCCAAGGAAGAGCAAUCAUCUUGUGGAAAUUGAAGCCAUUAUGGUCCUUAAGCUAGAAUGAUCACUCAGGAAUUGCAAAUCCAGGCCAAAGAUAGUGAUUAACCAGACCCCAACCCCAUAAAAUGGGCCUCUAUUGUGAAUGAGCCUGUCUCAUCCACCUCUUCAGAUCUGUACUCCCUUGACCUUUUUCAAGCCAUUCGCUUCUUCCCCCUUC
RNAcentral lists this long non-coding RNA (888 nucleotides) under Fukomys damarensis (Damara mole-rat). Its description in RNAcentral is "lncRNA (ENSFDAG00000030593.1)". The record is from RNAcentral. Lineage: Eukaryota; Metazoa; Chordata; Mammalia; Rodentia; Bathyergidae.